GUUUUUAUAGUUUAAUUUUAAAACGUCGAUUUUGUAUAUCGAAUAUAUAUAUAUAUCUGAAUAUUUUAAAAACU
RNAcentral lists this transfer RNA (74 nucleotides) under Arctopsyche spinescens. Its description in RNAcentral is "tRNA-Thr". The record is from RNAcentral. Lineage: Eukaryota; Metazoa; Arthropoda; Insecta; Trichoptera; Hydropsychidae.